RNAcentral lists this long non-coding RNA (458 nucleotides) under Cyanistes caeruleus (blue tit). RNAcentral describes it as "lncRNA (ENSCCEG00000023478.1)". Lineage: Eukaryota; Metazoa; Chordata; Aves; Passeriformes; Paridae. The record is from RNAcentral.
GUUUCUGUGCUAUAAUAUAACUAAGAUUUGACCUGCAGGGUCUACCCCUCUAAAGAAAACUUAUCUCCUUAAAUGUUUAAUUCUGAAAUUUUUUUCACUAGAGUGGAAAAAUUCUAAAUGGAAAUACGACAAAAGCAAAUGAUGUUAAGGAGGAACUCCAUUCUGCACAGGAGCUGCUGCUGAAUUUGGUGGUGCUGAAUUCUGAGACUGACUGCAGAUUUCCAACUUCCAUGGCUGAAUCAUUUUUUCUAAGUUAACUUCCAUUAUGAAUAUGAAAAGUUUUGUCAGGCUCUGACAGAAAAAUGAAGACAUUAGUGCUUUCAGAGGUAUCAUGGACAUAUACACAAGUGGACACUCACACAAAUUCCUAUCUCAUGGAAAUGAUGGUGAAGAAAGAAGAGAUAAUGUGCAUGAUUAUCUGUUGUGGAAACACCUAACGUAAGAAUAAGAAUUUCCUU